GCCAUUGUGGUGUAGUGGUUUGAGUGUUGGGCUACAACUCUGGAGACCAGGGUUCAAUUCCCAGCUCAGCCA
Phrynosoma platyrhinos (Desert horned lizard) is the source of this 72-nucleotide non-coding RNA. NCBI's taxonomy places the organism in Eukaryota, Metazoa, Chordata, Lepidosauria, Squamata, Phrynosomatidae. The record is from the annotation of a GenBank genome assembly.